Molecule: long non-coding RNA, 3088 nt
Organism: Nyctereutes procyonoides (raccoon dog)
Lineage: Eukaryota; Metazoa; Chordata; Mammalia; Carnivora; Canidae
Exons: 3
Source: RefSeq, a predicted model, not a curated record
GGCAUUGUGGGCUGUGAGAGCCAACGGCCCUCCAUGUAGCUGCCCAAUACCGGGCUGUGCUUCAUGGGCACCUGAGGGUCUCUGGAAGCUGUGAUCAGAGGCGGCUCAGUGAAAACCGAGGUGGGGACCCUGAGGGGGUGACGGCGGCACUCUCUCACACGCCAGAGCCCCUUGGGCCUGGAGGGAUGCCCCACGAAAACAGAAACGGCCUCUGCAUGCUUCCAUUUGUCAGGACAGCGACAUCCUAGCUCAUCCCACUUGGGGCAGGAACACCACUCCAAGGGGCUGAGUGGUGUCGGCCGCUCCUCUGCGCUGGUGGCUGCCGGGAGUGGGAGACUCGAGGUGUAAAAUUCAGAGGAUUUCACCUCCAGCAGAACCUCUGAGCUGUUUGCUUCUGCAUGGACACCACCUUGUCCACCACGGGGAUGCAACAGGCAGAGAAGAAAUGACGCAGCAAGCAACUACCCCGGAAACAACCUCACGACACCUCGUCAGCUUUCAGCACGUCCUCUUUGCGCGGAAGCGUCCAGCUCGGAGGAGUCAGAGGCCAGAACAGAGGAAGGAAAUGGAAUCCUCUCCCUCAGGAGCAGGGCACCCAGUGGUGGAAUCAGCUGGCUUCUCCACAGACGGAACGCAGUGCGUACCACCUCCUCCGCCUACAGGCAGUCAGUGGGACUUCUGUGACUGUGUCGCUGGGAAGUGUUACAACGAGAACUUCCAGUGAGAUGCUUCGAAGCCUCAGAGCAUUCUGGACAUGCCUUGGGGCUGCAGCCCGCGCAGAGGGGCUUGCUCAGCCUCAGAACUGGCUCAGCAUGACAGGAGUGCCCAGGUGCCGCUGCCAGCACCACUACGUGGAUGUAACGGAGUCCAAAAUGAUCCCUAUGAUGGGCACUCUGCUAAUUCAGAACUUACAGGGCCCGACAGGUCCACGCCCAAGCUCACCGAUCCAGUCAGUAACAGGUUUCCUCCAGGAAAAUCUUGGUCAUCAAUAAGAUUCUGGCAGCAGCUAAGGCUUGGAUGAUACGUGGCUUCUGGCUUGAAUGGCUCCCAAGCCCUCAACACACGUGGGAAGGGCAGCCUGGAGUGCAUGAGCCUCAGCCUGCUGACUCAGACCCGGAAUCGGUGGGACCCCAGGGCCCCUGGGUCCCUAGGCCGCAUCCUGGCAGGAGGAAGUACGCAGGUUGGGCCGGCCCCGGUGCAGACGACGGCUCGGAUGGCAGAGCAAGCCCGCAGGCCUGCCUCUGCUGUCCACAGGGAAUGCUGCCGCAGGGUCGAUGCCCCUGCCCCGUGUCGGUUCCAGGUGCCAAGGGCCAGACUGAUAAUGGAGUCGGGAUGUUUUCGAGAGCCUGUCAAACUGACAGGUGACCCUUCUUUCAGAGCCAAGUACCACCUCCCCUGACACUAAAUCAGGCAGCAGCCAGGCUGGCGAGGGGUGACCUGGGCAGCGGGGCCGGGGGAUGGGAGCUGGCCUCUGACCUUGACUGAUCAGGAUGCGGACAGCGUGGAAGGGACCUCCUGCCUGUGUGAGUAAGCAGGGGCAGAGGGCAGGGUUAGCACACAGUGCAGGGAAGCGUGUGCUCUGACCACCAGCCGUGGGACCUGCCUGCCCCUUCGCUGUGCUGCAGACUCUCCAGGGUAGGUGGCCCUGGCAGGGGGCUUCAUGGUCAGCAGCGGGGGGGCUGGUGAACUCUGCCCCUGGGUGGGGGGCAAGGGGAACCAACAGCUGGGUCUGCCGCCACGGGGAAGCACCUUUAAGGAGCAGCGAUGCCUGUGUGCCCAGCAAGGACCAUGACAGAGGCUGCGCAGCUGGCGUGAUGGGGAGUUUUACAUACAGGUGCGUGGGACCUAGAUGGUUGGUAAACCCCAGUUGAGAUGUUGCCACGAAGGGAGUUUUUAGAUGAGGUUAACACCGACAUUAGUGAACUCAGGAUAAAGUAGGCGGCCUUCCACACCAUGGGUGGGCCUCAUCUAAUCAGGUGAAGUCAUGAACAGAAACAGGACCCACCUGCCCCGAAGAAGUGGGAGCUCUGUCUCCAGGUGGCCCUUGGACUCUGGUGGCAGCAUCAACCUUGUUGGGGCAUCCAGCCUGAUGGGCAGCCCUGUGGAUUCCAGCCUCGCUGCCCACACGGCUGCAGGGACCAAGGCCUGACGACAGGCCUGUCCCCUGCCCCCAGCCCUGGAUCUCUGGGGCACCUGUGCUCUGUGGCCUGUAUUCCCAGGACGGGUGGCCGUGCCCUCAGAAGGCGGCAUCAGGGAAAGGGCUUUCCCAAAACCCAGAACAAGUCAUUUGUUCAUGGGAACGUUUCUGUCAUGCGAAGCCAGGCCACUAACUUCCUAAUGUCAAUAGUUAGGACACAUGUCCAGGGAGAUUCUAGAGCUGAGUGUGAGCGCAUGACUUGGUACUUUGGUUCUGAAGAGCAUUUGGAUUUGGGUCCCGGAAGAAUAAACAUUUAGGAUUGGCCUAAAGAAGUUGGGGGAAAUAGAAAGAGCAACCUGCGCGCAGAUCUUGAGCUAUGUGACAAAGCAGGAGGUGAUACAACAUGAGGGAUAGGAGAGACGGCCAGGAGCGGAUCCUGCACUCGAGUGUGGCCUUUCACACUCAUGCGCGAAGAACCCACUCCCCAGUAAGUACAGCUGAGAAGUGAAAAUGAGGUGAACCCCCUACCACAUAAAACAGUCGGAUCAAAAUCUAGAUGUAAAGGGCUCCUUGGGGGCUCAGAGGGUCUGCCUUUGGCCCAGGGCAUGGUCCUGGAGUCCGGGGAUCGAGUCUCGCAUCGGUCUCCAUGUGGGGAGCCUGUUUCUCCCUCUGCCUGUGUCUCUGCCCCUCUCUCUGUGUCUCUCAUGAAUAAAUAAGUUAAAAAAAAUCUAACUGUAAAAAAUAGCUAUGAAAUGCUUGGGAGGAAAUAUAAAAUACUUGCUUAUGUUGGGCUCAAUUAUCACAAUACCCAAGCUAUUUGGAAAAAUCCAGGAGUCUUAAACAGUGAAUACAGCUGCCGUACGAAUGAUUCCUACAAAUCGGUGGGGGUAAAAAAUAAAAGAAAAAUUGUGCAGAGUACAAUCAGGUAAAUCACAGAAGACGACACACAAA